RNAcentral lists this ribosomal RNA (793 nucleotides) under uncultured bacterium. RNAcentral's name for it is "bacterial SSU rRNA". It matches the Rfam family "Bacterial small subunit ribosomal RNA", at positions 8 to 796 of the family's 1533-position model. The record is from RNAcentral.
AGAGUUUGAUCCUGGCUCAGGAUGAACGCUAGCGGCAGGCCUAACACAUGCAAGUCGAGGGGCAACAGGGGUAGCAAUACUUGCUGGCGACCGGCGCACGGGUGAGUAACGCGUAUGCAACCUACCCAUAACAAGGGGAUAGCUUUCGGAAACGGAAAUUAAUACCCUAUAGUAUCCCAAAGUCGCAUGGCUUAAGGAUUAAAACUACGGUGGUUAUGGAUGGGCAUGCGUGCCAUUAGCUAGUUGGCGGGGUAACGGCCCACCAAGGCGAUGAUGGCUAGGGGGUCUAAAAGGAUGAUCCCCCACACUGGUACUGAGACACGGACCAGACUCCUACGGGAGGCAGCAGUGAGGAAUAUUGGUCAAUGGGCGAGAGCCUGAACCAGCCAUGCCGCGUGCAGGAAGACGGCCCUACGGGUUGUAAACUGCUUUUGUGUGGGAAGAAAACGCACUACGUGUAGUGCACUGACGGUACCAUAUGAAUAAGCAUCGGCUAACUCCGUGCCAGCAGCCGCGGUAAUACGGAGGAUGCGAGCGUUAUCCGGAUUUAUUAGGUUUAAAGGGUGUGUAGGCGGACGAUUAAGUCAGUGGUGAAAUCUCAGAGCUUAACUCUGAAACUGCCAUAGAUACUGGUUGUCUUGAGUACAGUUGAAGUAGGCGGAAUGUGUAAUGUAGCGGUGAAAUGCUUAGAUAUUACACAGAACACCGAUUGCGAAGGCAGCUUGCUAAGCUGUUACUGACGCUGAUGCACGAAAGCGUGGGGAGCGAACAGGAUUAGAUACCCUGGUAGUCC